AACGAACGCUGGCGGCAUGCCUAACACAUGCAAGUCGAACGAGGCCUUCGGGUCUAGUGGCGCACGGGUGCGUAACGCGUGGGAAUCUGCCCUUAGGUUCGGAAUAACAGCUGGAAACGGCUGCUAAUACCGGAUAAUGUCGGCAGACCAAAGAUUUAUCGCCAGUGGAUGGGCCCGCGUUGGAUUAGGUAGUUGGUAGGGUAAAGGCCUACCAAGCCGACGAUCCAUAGCUGGUCUGAGAGGAUGAUCAGCCACACUGGGACUGAGACACGGCCCAGACUCCUACGGGAGGCAGCAGUGGGGAAUAUUGGACAAUGGGCGAAAGCCUGAUCCAGCAAUGCCGCGUGAGUGAUGAAGGCCUUAGGGUUGUAAAGCUCUUUUACCCGGGAUGAUAAUGACAGUACCGGGAGAAUAAGCUCCGGCUAACUCCGUG
This 433-nucleotide ribosomal RNA is filed under the name uncultured bacterium. Its description in RNAcentral is "partial 16S ribosomal RNA". It matches the Rfam family "Bacterial small subunit ribosomal RNA", at positions 29 to 507 of the family's 1533-position model. The record is from RNAcentral.